This 468-nucleotide ribosomal RNA is filed under the name uncultured bacterium. RNAcentral's name for it is "partial 16S ribosomal RNA". It matches the Rfam family "Bacterial small subunit ribosomal RNA", at positions 28 to 507 of the family's 1533-position model. The record is from RNAcentral.
GACGAACGCUGGCGGCGUGCUUAACACAUGCAAGUCGAACGGAAAGGCCCUGCUUUUGUGGGGUGCUCGAGUGGCGAACGGGUGAGUAACACGUGAGUAACCUGCCCUUGACUUUGGUAUAACUUCAGGAAACUGGGGCUAAUACCGGAUAGGAUCUCCUGCUGCAUGGUGGGGGUUGGAAAGUUUCGGCGGUUGGGGAUGGACUCGCGGCUUAUCAGCUUGUUGGUGGGGUAGUGGCUUACCAAGGCUUUGACGGGUAGCCGGCCUGAGAGGGUGACCGGCCACACUGGGACUGAGAUACGGCCCAGACUCCUACGGGAGGCAGCAGUGGGGAAUAUUGCACAAUGGGAGGAAGCCUGAUGCAGCAACGCCGCGUGCGGGAUGACGGCCUUCGGGUUGUAAACCGCUUUCGCCUGUGACGAAGCGUGAGUGACGGUAAUGGGUAAAGAAGCACCGGCUAACUACGUG